This 812-nucleotide small RNA is filed under the name Pongo abelii (Sumatran orangutan). RNAcentral describes it as "retained intron". The record is from RNAcentral. Lineage: Eukaryota; Metazoa; Chordata; Mammalia; Primates; Hominidae.
AAAAUACCCUGAUGGAGGAAUCUGCUGAGCAGGCUCAGCGCCGGGAUGAGAUGCUUCGAAUGUACCAAGCCCUGAAAGAAGCCCUUGGGAUAAUUGGGGACAUCAGCACGGCCACCGUGUCCACUCCGGCACCCCCUCCAGUGGAUGAUUCCUGGAUACAGCACUCUCGCAGGUCACCUCCUCCAAGCCCCACAACCCAAAGGAGGCCAACCCUAAGUGCUCCCCUCUCAAGGCCCACAUCCGGCCGAGGACCAGCUCCUGCCAUUCCCUCUCCUGGCCCCCACUCUGGGGCUCCCCCAGUCCCAUUCCGUCCAGGCCCAUUACCUCCUUUCCCCAGCAGCAGUGACUCCUUCGGAGCCCCUCCACAAGUUCCAUCUAGGCCCACGAGGGCCCCGCCCAGUGUCCCAAGGUAAGGCAUGGAGCAGAAAUUGGGGGGUGGUGUGCCUUGGUUCUCUUCUCAUAGAAUGACAGACAAAAUUUAUUUGAAAGAGAAAAUUGCAAAGAUCUUGUCGUACGUGUUUGCAGUUUUCACAAUGAACAGGAAAAUUGCCAACUCUGUUAUGCCAUUUAAAAAUCACUUGUGAUCAUUGAAAUUUCUCAUUUAUCAAUUGGCACAAAGUAAAUAGGACUAAAGAACACUGGGUCCCAAUGAAUGACAUUUUGGCAGCUAUUGGGAGAAUUUGAGGGCUUUGAAACAAAAGAGCUAUGGAGGAUUGUAGCAAGCUGUGUGUUCUAUAGGUCAUGAGAGUUCCAUGGACUAAAGUCUUGCCUUCUCCAUUACCAAAAGAAUUCUAGAAAACCACUGACUUAGA